RNAcentral lists this ribosomal RNA (253 nucleotides) under uncultured bacterium. Its description in RNAcentral is "partial 16S ribosomal RNA". It matches the Rfam family "Bacterial small subunit ribosomal RNA", at positions 524 to 776 of the family's 1533-position model. The record is from RNAcentral.
AACGUAGGUACCGAGCGUUAUCCGGAUUUACUGGGCGUAAAGCGUGUUCAGGCGGCCUGGCAAGUCGGGCAUGAAAUCUCUCGGCUCAACCGGGAGAGGCUGUCCGAUACUGCUGGGCUUGAGGACGGUAGAGGGUGGUGGAAUUCCGCGUGUAGUGGUGAAAUGCGUAGAUAUGCGGAGGAACACCAGUGGCGAAGGCGGGUCUCUGGGCCGAUACUGACGCUGAGACGCGAAAGCGUGGGGAGCAAACAGG